Molecule: ribosomal RNA, 913 nt
Filed under: uncultured archaeon
Lineage: Archaea
Description: bacterial SSU rRNA
Rfam family: Archaeal small subunit ribosomal RNA
Source: RNAcentral
UUCCGGUUGAUCCUGCCAGAGGUCACUGCUAUCGGGGUUCGAUUAAGCCAUGCGAGUCGAGAGGGGUCAAGCCCUCGGCAUACUGCUCAGUAACACGUGGACAACCUGCCCUGCGGUGAGGGAUAACUCCGGGAAACUGGAGAUAAUACCUCAUAGUUUACCAUCGCUGGAAUGCCUGGUAAGCGAAAGGUCCGCCGCCACAGGAUGGGUCUGCGGCCGAUUAGGUUGUUGUUGGGGUAACGGCCCAACAAGCCUGUGAUCGGUACGGGUUGUGGGAGCAAGAGCCCGGAGAUGGAUUCUGAGACACGAAUCCAGGCCCUACGGGGCGCAGCAGGCGCGAAAACUUUACAAUGCAGGCAACUGUGAUAAGGGAACCCCGAGUGCCCGUAUGGACGGGCUGUUCAGGUGCUUAAAAACCACCUGGAGAAAGGGCCGGGCAAGACCGGUGCCAGCCGCCGCGGUAAUACCGGCGGCUCGAGUGGUGGCCACUAUUACUGGGCUUAAAGCGUCCGUAGCUUGGUCGUUAAGCCUCUGGGGAAAUCUUCCGGCUCAACCGGAAGGCGUCUCAGGGGAACUGGCGGCCUAGGGAUCGGGAGAGGUGAGAGGUACUCUGGGGGUAGGAGUGAAAUCCUGUAAUCCUCAGGGGACCACCUGUGGCGAAGGCGUCUCACCAGAACGACUCCGACAGUGAGGGACGAAAGCUGGGGGAGCAAACCGGAUUAGAUACCCGGGUAGUCCCAGCCGUAAACGAUGCUCGCUAGGUGUCAGGCAUGGCGCGACCGUGUCUGGUGCCGCAGGGAAGCCGUGAAGCGAGCCACCUGGGAAGUACGGCCGCAAGGCUGAAACUUAAAGGAAUUGGCGGGGGAGCACAACAACGGGUGGAGCCUGCGGUUUAAUUGGAGUCAACGCCGGG